This 401-nucleotide ribosomal RNA is filed under the name uncultured bacterium. RNAcentral's name for it is "bacterial SSU rRNA". It matches the Rfam family "Bacterial small subunit ribosomal RNA", at positions 357 to 774 of the family's 1533-position model. The record is from RNAcentral.
GGGAAUAUUGCAAAAUGGGCGAAAGCCCGAUGCAGCAACGCCGCGUGGGCGAUGAAGGCCUUCGGGUCGUAAAGCCCUUUUUGAGGGGAUGAGGAAGGACAGUACCCUCAGAAUAAGCCUCGGCUAACUACGUGCCAGCAGCCGCGGUAAAACGUAGGAGGCGAGCGUUAUCCGGAUUUACUGGGCGUAAAGCGCGUGCAGGCGGAUUGGAGAGUUGGAUGUGAAAGCUCCCGGCUUAACUGGGAGAGGUCGUUCAAUACUUCCAGUCUUGAGUGCAGUAGAGGGAAGUGGAAUUCCGGGUGUAGUGGUGAAAUGCGUAGAUAUCCGGAGGAACACCAGUGGCGAAAGCGGCUUCCUGGACUGUAACUGACGCUCAGACGCGAAAGCUAGGGUAGCAAACG